AACGCACAUUGCGCCCCCUGGUAUUCCGGGGGGCAUGCCUGUUCGAGCGUCAUUUCAACCUUCAAGCUCUGCUUGGUAUUGGGCCUGCGCUGGUCUCCCAGCGGGCCUCAAAAUCAGUGGCGGUGCCAUCUGGCUUCAAGCGUAGUAACACAUCUCGCUUCUGGAGACCCAGGUGGUUGCCUGCCAGCAACCCCAUCUUCUCAGGUUGACCUCGGAUCAGGUAGGGCUACCCGCUGAACUUAA
This 243-nucleotide unclassified non-coding RNA is filed under the name uncultured fungus. RNAcentral's name for it is "partial contains 5.8S ribosomal RNA, internal transcribed spacer 2, and large subunit ribosomal RNA". The stretch from base 1 to 52 matches the Rfam family "5.8S ribosomal RNA", at positions 103 to 154 of the family's 154-position model. The record is from RNAcentral. Lineage: Eukaryota; Fungi.